This 455-nucleotide ribosomal RNA is filed under the name uncultured Streptococcus sp. Its description in RNAcentral is "bacterial SSU rRNA". It matches the Rfam family "Bacterial small subunit ribosomal RNA", at positions 924 to 1382 of the family's 1533-position model. The record is from RNAcentral. Lineage: Bacteria; Bacillati; Bacillota; Bacilli; Lactobacillales; Streptococcaceae.
CACAAGCGGUGGAGCAUGUGGUUUAAUCGAAGCAACGCGAAGUAACCUUACCAGGUCUUGACAUCCCGAUGCUAUUUCUAGAGAUAGAAAGUUACUUCGGUACAUCGGUGACAGGUGGUGCAUGGUUGCGUCAGCUCGUGUCGUGAGAUGUUGGGUUAAGUCCCGCAACGAGCGCAACCCCUAUUGUUAGUUGCCAUCAUUCAGUUGGGCACUCUAGCGAGACUGCCGGUAAUAAACCGGAGGAAGGUGGGAUGACGUCAAAUCAUCAUGCCCCUUAUGACCUGGGCUACACACGUGCUACAAUGGUUGGUACAACGAGUUGCGAGUCGGUGACGGCGAGCUAAUCUCUUAAAGCCAAUCUCAGUUCGGAUUGUAGGCUGCAACUCGCCUACAUGAAGUCGGAAUCGCUAGUAAUCGCGGAUCAGCACGCCGCGGUGAAUACGUUCCCGGGCCUU